RNA transcript from Pyrus x bretschneideri (Chinese white pear), 1870 nucleotides. It is a transcript of the gene named serine/arginine-rich splicing factor SC35, with no coding region annotated. The record is from RefSeq and is a predicted model, not a curated record. Lineage: Eukaryota; Viridiplantae; Streptophyta; Magnoliopsida; Rosales; Rosaceae. The transcript has 8 exons.
ACCUCAAAUCACAAACCCUAGCGCUCGCGAGCCCUCGGACACCGCCGCAGAUUCACGCACCCCCGCCGCUCCAAUCCCUCUCGGAGAUGUCGCACUUCGGUCGAUCCGGACCUCCGGACAUCAGAGAGACCUACUCCCUCCUCGUCCUCAACAUCACUUUCCGAACCACCGCGGACGACCUUUUCCCUCUCUUCGACAAGUACGGAAAGGUCGUCGAUGUCUUCAUUCCCCGAGACCGGAGAACUGGCGAUUCCCGCGGAUUCGCCUUCGUUCGGUAUAAGUAUCAGGAUGAGGCGCAGAAGGCUGUGGAGAAACUUGAUGGGAGAGUUGUCGAUGGUAGAGAGAUUAUGGUUCAGUUUGCUAAAUACGGCCCCAAUGCGGAGCGAAUCCACAAGGGUAGGGUAAGUGAAUCAACUUCUAAGCUCAAAUCAAGGUCCCGAAGCCGUAGCCGGAGCCCUCGUCCUAGGUAUCGAGAUGAAUAUAAGGAAAAGGAUUACGGAAGUCGCAGUCGAAGUAGGGAUAAAUAUAGUCGUGACAGGCACCAUAGGAGUGAAAGAGAGCAUCGCUACAGAAGUAGGAGCCGCAGUGCAAGUCCUGAUAAUCGUAAGAGGGGCAGAUAUGAUGAUGAGCGGCGGAGUCGAAGCCGGUCAUAUGGAAGUGCCUCUCCUGUUCGGAAUAGUCCCAAGUCUCGCAGGAGCCCCUCUCCUCGUAGGAGCUCAUCUCCUUGCAGGAGCCCUUCUCCUCGCAUGAGGACAUCUCCUCGUACGACACCUUCUAGGGUUGAGAAUGUUCAUGGACGCAACCGCAAGGAACGCUCUCCUACCCCCAAAGAUGUUUCACCAGAUGGACGACGUGAUGAUUCUCCAAGUCUUUCCCCUCGUAAAUCUGAUGCUGAUGAAUGAUGGACCCUCAUCUAUUGGCCCGAGAUGAUAACAUUUGGCUUGACGCCUUGUGUCUGCAUUCUUAGUUGGAGGAUGAGUUUCAUAUUUGGAUCAAAGUAUUGAAUGUUACUUUUGACUUCGUGCAGUUUUGUUGAAGGUUGAACAUUUCUUUGUUGGACUCAUGAUGUUCGGGAAGAGUGAACAUUGCUGAUUGGUGAGAUGCUGUAGCUGUACUAGCUGUUGGUGCUAUUUCUACUACAGAAAUGGUAGAUGUCAAUGUGUCGUGUCUCUGCUGAUUGCAGUCUGGUCUUAUCCUAUUAUCCUACUUGCACUGGUCGAUAGUUUGGCCUUAUGUAGUGGUAUCAGGAAGAGUGAACUUGCUGAUUGACGAGAUGCUGUAGUAGCUGUUGGUGCUUUUUUAACUACACAAAUGGUAGAUGUCAAUGUCAUGUUCUUGCUGAUUGCGGUCCGCUCUUAACCUGUUUUGCUUUCAUGAAUCUCUGGUUGGUAAGAGUAAAACUCAUGUUUCCAGUCUUAUAUCCAUCGGUUUUUCAGUUUUUUGUUUUUCCCUUGAUCACACUGAUUUUGCUUCACUGAUUGUAAAGUUUUGGUCCUGUAAAGGAAUCGGGGAUGCUGUGGUUGCCUAAAGUUGGUCGGAAUUCACUUGCCAUUGCAUGUAGCCGAUGCAGUAUAAGCUGAUGCAUUAAUUAUUUUUAGUAGCUGAUGCGGUUUUUUUCUUAUAGGAGCUGAUGCAAUUUAUAGGAACACAUUAAUUUUUGUUUUGCUUUUGUUUUCUUUUCUGGGAGUAGAAAAAAUAGCUGGGUGGUGGGCGCGUUACGAUCGAUCAUUAGCUAGUUGCUGGCUGCCGCCGCAGUGCUAUGAAUAUUCUCUAGUCAUGCCCAUAUUUAGUUCAUGUUCAACUAAAGCUAAGCUUGUAUAAUGAUAUUCUACUAUUGUGCAAUUUUUCUUUAAAUUCAUUGAAUUUCUUU